ACCGUAAAAGAAGAAAGACUUUGCUUUGAUUAUCUUAUUUGUUUUGAAUGCACCGCUCAACUCGCAUGGUCCCACGUGGGUACCUAGUUCUCAGCUAGUUCUCAGCAGCCAAUCAGAAGCUACGCAGGCCACGCUCAGCCAGUCGGCUCGGAGAGGAAGUGCAGUCGCGUUGCUCUUCCGGUCUUUUCGGAUCUCGGCCCGGGAAGCGAGGGCAGCUGUGCGUUAAGGAGAAGAGGAAAACCAGAGAAAGAACCCAGAGUAAAACCUGUGAAAAAGGAAAAAGAGUCGGAGCACUUACCCAGUGGAGGUCCGGAGCCAAGUGGCUGAACGAAGGAGAGAUACGUCGCAGGCUAACUGCUUGCCUGUCCUCCGGAGAGCUGCUACGAGGUUCGGCAUUGGCAUGCUCCACCUUGAUACACAGAGCAACGGUCAGGUUUUUUAGAGGACUGAGAGUCUGAGGUUCAGGACAACUUCCUGCUGUGAAAGAUGGCGAGCCAACUACCCUGAUUGAAGAUUAGCACCGAGGAGAUAUUCACGUACACACUCAUUCACACAAGUAAUACACUCACAUUACACUACAAGAAACCUUGGAAUCGGGUGAACUUUCAACAACUCCGUUUAUUUUAAGGGCCCCACCAGACAUUUUUGUUUUAAGUGUGCACACUACUUUUUUAUUUUCAUUACUGUUUGGUAUAAUAUUUUGCAUUUUGUACGAACCAGACAAAUUACUUUGUUCACUGUAAAAUAUAAGAGUGGCUACUCAAUUGUUACUCUUGUGUCUGCCUCAUUGUUGUUGCUCAGUACAGUGGCUCCUCUCGAAUUUGGUCUCUUCUGAUUCUGGUCCUGGUCUUAUUGUUAGUCCAACUUAUAUUAUACUGUAAUUCACUUUUACACUCCUAAAAUUGGUUACAUACUACUAGUACUUUUGCAGGCUGAAUGUUAAAGUACUUCUUAACUUAGAGAGAU
Molecule: long non-coding RNA, 966 nt
Organism: Gadus chalcogrammus (walleye pollock)
Lineage: Eukaryota; Metazoa; Chordata; Actinopteri; Gadiformes; Gadidae
Exons: 3
Source: RefSeq, a predicted model, not a curated record